Molecule: unclassified non-coding RNA, 1513 nt
Filed under: Schistocerca americana (American grasshopper)
Lineage: Eukaryota; Metazoa; Arthropoda; Insecta; Orthoptera; Acrididae
Description: serine hydrolase-like protein, transcript variant X1
Source: RNAcentral
GCUAGGGCCUCCCGUCGGGUAGACCGUUCGCGUGGUGCAGGUCUUUCGAUUUGAAAUUCGAUGACCAUAAAAUCAUUUUGAAGACUCUAAAACAUUAUAAUCAGCAAUUUUUUGAUCGUAAUAGUUUUCAAAAGCUAUGAGAGAUGAAAAAUAUGACAUGUCGCUUUAGUGACGAAUUUAAACAUCCCUUUUCAAUACAAUCUGUAGAGUGAUAUGUUCUGUAAGCUUUAUCGCAGAGAUAGUAUUGCACGAUUUGAUACGCGGUUAUCAAAUACAAGUCAUACAGUAUAUGUUGUCUGUACGUAAGAAAUAGUGCGAAGUUCAAGGUACAUGGUGAAGAAUUUUCUGCAUAAUGUCAAAGGCAGUAACAUCAGAUGACAGUCCUAAUGAUCCGAACCCACUAACUUUUACUGAAAUUGAAAUACCUGUUCCUUGGGGCAAAAUUGCAGCGAUGACAUGCGGCGAUUCUUCCAGUCAUCCCAUUUUAUGUCUGCAUGGCUUACUGGAUAAUAGCGCGUCAUUUGAUAGACUCAUGCACGCAUUAUCACUGAAAUCACAUUUCUUUGUAAGCAUUGAUCUCCCUGGCCACGGAAAAUCAUCACAUUUGGAGCCUGGGACACAAUAUCGUUUCCUGGAUUUUUUGACAGUUGUUCUGAGGAUUAAACAGUACUUUCAAUGGGAAAGGUUUUCUAUUAUAGGACACGAAAUGGGAGGACUCUUAGGUCUUUAUUUUGCAGCAUAUUUUCCUAAAGCUGUUGAGAAACUUGUCGUGCUGAAUCCAGUGUGCUAUUUGACACGAAACAAAGACCAAAGCCAACGAUUUAUAAAAACUGCUGAAUCUGCUUAUAAAGUGCAGCAUCAACCCAAAGAAAUUACUUUUACAACGUUGACUGAUGCACUGGAUUAUAUUUUAAAUUUGCGGAAGACUAAAUUGUCCAGCGAAUUACUUCCAGUUUUACUAAGAAAUGUCUACCCUGUUGGUAACAUGUAUAUGUUGUCCAUAGACAGUAGAAUUAGUGCAUUAGAAUUCCCAGUAAUAAGUGAGAAACAGUUGUAUCAAAUUUUUAAUAAAAUAACAUGCGAGCUUUUUAUCAUCACUUCUUCAGAUAAAAGAGAAGAUUUUAAAAUGUUGCCAGUUGCUUAUUUUACCCGUUUAUUUAAGAAAAACUGUGUAAGAUUUGGAACCAUCACAUUAAAAGGAGACACUGAUCUACAUUUACACAAGCCAAAAACAGUUUCGUCUCAAGUACGGCAAUUAUUUUUGGACUUUAGGUCAUCUUUAUGAAAGUUUCAAUAUACCUAUCAAUGUGAACUGUAAAUUCAAAACACUAAUGUGGUGGUUGUUAUGAUCUAUUGGUUUACCGGAAUAUAGAGUCAAGCAAAGGUUUGGGGAGCCGCAGACAAUAUACCACUUCUUGCUGUGCAUGGACUUCAAGACAACGCUGGGACAUUUGAUCGCCUUGUGCCCUUUUUGCCAAAACAUUUUUACAUAGUUUGCAUAGAUUUACCUGGU